Non-coding RNA from Podarcis lilfordi (Lilford's wall lizard), 82 nucleotides. The record is from the annotation of a GenBank genome assembly. NCBI's taxonomy places the organism in Eukaryota, Metazoa, Chordata, Lepidosauria, Squamata, Lacertidae.
GCUUAUGCAACUGGGAUAGCUCAGUCGGUAGAGCAUGAGACUCUUAAUUUCAGGGUCGUGGGUUUGACCCCCACGUCAGGCA